GGUGAACGCUAGCGGCAGGCCUAAUACAUGCAAGUCGAGCGGCAAGUCGAGGAGUAAUCUAAGACCUAGAGCGGCGCACGGGUGCGUAACGCGUAUGCAACCUACCUUAUACUGGGGGAUAGCCCGGAGAAAUCUGGAUUAAUACCCCAUGGCACAUAUUGAUGGCAUCUGAGAUAUGUUAAAGAUUUAUUGGUGUAAGAUGGGCAUGCGUCUGAUUAGCUAGUUGGCGGUGUAACGGACCACCAAGGCGACGAUCAGUAGGGGUUCUGAGAGGAAGGUCCCCCACACUGGCACUGAGAUACGGGCCAGACUCCUACGGGAGGCAGCAGUAGGGAAUAUUGGGGCAAUGGUCGGAAGACUGACCCAGCCAUGCCGCGUGCAGGAAGACGGCCCUCUGGGUUGUAAACUGCUUUUAUCUGGGAAGAAAAAGUCCAUGCGUGGAAAAUUGCCGGUACCAGAUG
Molecule: ribosomal RNA, 461 nt
Filed under: uncultured bacterium
Lineage: Bacteria
Description: bacterial SSU rRNA
Rfam family: Bacterial small subunit ribosomal RNA
Source: RNAcentral